GCGGCGCGGGCGCGCGAAGGUCAAGCGGGCGGUGCUCCUGGCGCCGCCGGGAGCGGGGGUUUCCCACCCCCGCACCCCC
RNAcentral lists this transfer RNA (79 nucleotides) under Sinisalibacter lacisalsi. Its description in RNAcentral is "tRNA-Arg". Lineage: Bacteria; Pseudomonadati; Pseudomonadota; Alphaproteobacteria; Rhodobacterales; Roseobacteraceae. The record is from RNAcentral.